This 480-nucleotide ribosomal RNA is filed under the name uncultured bacterium. Its description in RNAcentral is "bacterial SSU rRNA". It matches the Rfam family "Bacterial small subunit ribosomal RNA", at positions 903 to 1397 of the family's 1533-position model. The record is from RNAcentral.
AAAGGAAUUGACGGGGGCCCGCACAAGCAGCGGAGCGUGUGGUUUAAUUCGAGGCUACACGAAGAACCUUACCUGGGUUUGACAUCACGGUGGUAGGGAACUGAAAAGGGACCGACCUUCGGGAGCCGUGACAGGUGCUGCAUGGCUGUCCUCAGCUCGUGUCGUGAGAUGUUCGGUUAAGUCCGAAAACGAGCGCAACCCUCGGGUCUAGUUACACGUGUCUAGACCGACUGCCCGGGAGAACCGGGAGGAAGGUGGGGAUGACGUCAAGUCAGCAUGGCCUUUAUAUCCAGGGCGACACACACGCUACAAUGGGCGGUACAAUGGGUCGCGAAGCCGCGAGGCGGAGCCAAUCCUAAAAAGCCGUUCGUAGUUCGGAUUGCAGGCUGCAACCCGCCUGCAUGAAGCCGGAGUUGCUAGUAACCGCGCGUCAGCUAUAGUGCGGUGAAUACGUUCUCGGGCCUUGUACACACCGCCCGU